AGGGACAUCAGACAGAGCUACAACCAGUGAGGGACAAAAGUGAGGCAGCUGCUGAAGAGGUACUUCAUACUGUCAUUGACUGAUAUCACUAUGGUGGAGAUGCAGGUGGCUUUAGAAAUAUGCUGAAUUGGUUUGAUCCAGAGAGGCAGUUAUGCAUAAGAGCAACCACUCUCUAUUGAAUUAGGAGAUCUCUCAUGCAACACAUCUCACCAAUUACAAGUCCCCAUUAGCCACCACGAUGGCUGGAGAAGAGUGGAUCAUCACAAAUGGUGACAACUGUGGUGCUAUCCCACUGUCAAUGCAGGAGAGAGCAAUACACACAAGACAGUUCAGUUCACAAGUCCAUCAGAAGCAGACUGCAGUUGCAUGAAGGCGCUGGCAAGUCUCUGCAGGGAAGUGUCAGCCUUACUUGCUACACCAAGGACAGUUGGGCAAGAUCAACAUCAGACAUGGACAUUCUGUGCCACUGAGAGAUCUCAUUAUUAUGCCUUUCCUGGGAAUCCCUUGCCCUCAUCCCAACUCAGCCACUAAUAAAACCUUAACUUUAUCUUUCAGUGAAA
This 560-nucleotide long non-coding RNA is filed under the name Mus musculus (house mouse). RNAcentral describes it as "predicted gene 12665, transcript variant 3 (Gm12665)". Lineage: Eukaryota; Metazoa; Chordata; Mammalia; Rodentia; Muridae. The record is from RNAcentral.